This 497-nucleotide ribosomal RNA is filed under the name uncultured bacterium. Its description in RNAcentral is "partial 16S ribosomal RNA". It matches the Rfam family "Bacterial small subunit ribosomal RNA", at positions 28 to 507 of the family's 1533-position model. The record is from RNAcentral.
GAUGAACGCUGGCGGCGUGCCUAAUACAUGCAAGUCGAGCGAACGGACGAGAAGCUUGCUUCUCUGAUGUUAGCGGCGGACGGGUGAGUAACACGUGGAUAACCUACCUAUAAGACUGGGAUAACUUCGGGAAACCGGAGCUAAUACCGGAUGAUAUUUCGAACCGCAUGGUUCAAAAGUGAAAGACGGUCUUGCUGUCACUUAUAGAUGGAUCCGCGCUGCAUUAGCUAGUUGGUAAGGUAACGGCUUACCAAGGCAACGAUGCAUAGCCGACCUGAGAGGGUGAUCGGCCACACUGGAACUGAGACACGGUCCAGACUCCUACGGGAGGCAGCAGUAGGGAAUCUUCCGCAAUGGGCGAAAGCCUGACGGAGCAACGCCGCGUGAGUGAUGAAGGUCUUCGGAUCGUAAAACUCUGUUAUUAGGGAAGAACAGAUGUGUAAGUAACUGUGCACAUCUUGACGGUACCUAAUCAGAAAGCCACGGCUAACUCCGUG